This 253-nucleotide ribosomal RNA is filed under the name uncultured bacterium. Its description in RNAcentral is "partial 16S ribosomal RNA". It matches the Rfam family "Bacterial small subunit ribosomal RNA", at positions 524 to 776 of the family's 1533-position model. The record is from RNAcentral.
UACGGGGGGGGCAAGCGUUGUUCGGAAUUACUGGGCGUAAAGGGUUCGUAGGUGGCCAACUAAGUCAGACGUGAAAUCCCUCAGCUUAACUGGGGAACUGCGUCUGAUACUGGAUGGCUUGAGUGCAGGAGAGGAACGCGGAAUUCCAGGUGUAGCGGUGAAAUACGUAGAUAUCUGGAGGAACACCGGUGGCGAAGGCGGCGUUCUGGACUGCAACUGACACUGAGGAACGAAAGCCAGGGGAGCAAACGGG